GAAAUGCGAUAAGUAAUGUGAAUUGCAGAAUUCAGUGAAUCAUCGAAUCUUUUAACGCACCUUGCGCUCCUUGGUAUUCCUUGGAGCAUGCCUGUUUGAGUAUCAUGAAAUCUUCAAAGUAAAUCUUUUGUUAACUCAAUUGGUUUCUACUUUGGUAUUGGAGGUCUUUGCAGCUUCACACCUGCUCCUCUUUGUUCAUUAGCUGGAUCUCAGUGUUAUGCUUGGUUCCACUCGGCGUGAUAAGUUAUCUAUCGCUGAGGACACUGUAAAAGGUGGCAAAGGUAAAUGCAGAUGAACCGCUUCUAAUAGUCCAUUGACUUGGACAAUACUUUUAUGAUCUGAUCUCAAAUCAGGUAGGACUACCCGCUGAACUUAAGC
Molecule: unclassified non-coding RNA, 378 nt
Filed under: plant metagenome
Description: partial contains 5.8S ribosomal RNA, internal transcribed spacer 2, and large subunit ribosomal RNA
Rfam family: 5.8S ribosomal RNA (bases 1-105)
Source: RNAcentral